Molecule: ribosomal RNA, 2902 nt
Filed under: human gut metagenome
Description: bacterial LSU rRNA
Rfam family: Bacterial large subunit ribosomal RNA
Source: RNAcentral
UUAAGCGACUAAGCGUACACGGUGGAUGCCCUGGCAGUCAGAGGCGAUGAAGGACGUGCUAAUCUGCGAUAAGCGUCGGUAAGGUGAUAUGAACCGUUAUAACCGGCGAUUUCCGAAUGGGGAAACCCAGUGUGAUUCGUCACACUAUCAUUAACUGAAUCCAUAGGUUAAUGAGGCGAACCGGGGGAACUGAAACAUCUAAGUACCCCGAGGAAAAGAAAUCAACCGAGAUUCCCCCAGUAGCGGCGAGCGAACGGGGAGCAGCCCAGAGCCUGAAUCAGUGUGUGUGUUAGUGGAAGCGUCUGGAAAGGCGUGCGAUACAGGGUGACAGCCCCGUACACAAAAAUGCACAUAUUGUGAGCUCGAUGAGUAGGGCGGGACACGUGGUAUCCUGUCUGAAUAUGGGGGGACCAUCCUCCAAGGCUAAAUACUCCUGACUGACCGAUAGUGAACCAGUACCGUGAGGGAAAGGCGAAAAGAACCCCGGCGAGGGGAGUGAAAAAGAACCUGAAACCGUGUACGUACAAGCAGUGGGAGCACGCUUAGGCGUGUGACUGCGUACCUUUUGUAUAAUGGGUCAGCGACUUAUAUUCUGUAGCAAGGUUAACCGAAUAGGGGAGCCGAAGGGAAACCGAGUCUUAACUGGGCGUUAAGUUGCAGGGUAUAGACCCGAAACCCGGUGAUCUAGCCAUGGGCAGGUUGAAGGUUGGGUAACACUAACUGGAGGACCGAACCGACUAAUGUUGAAAAAUUAGCGGAUGACUUGUGGCUGGGGGUGAAAGGCCAAUCAAACCGGGAGAUAGCUGGUUCUCCCCGAAAGCUAUUUAGGUAGCGCCUCGUGAAUUCAUCUCCGGGGGUAGAGCACUGUUUCGGCAAGGGGGUCAUCCCGACUUACCAACCCGAUGCAAACUGCGAAUACCGGAGAAUGUUAUCACGGGAGACACACGGCGGGUGCUAACGUCCGUCGUGAAGAGGGAAACAACCCAGACCGCCAGCUAAGGUCCCAAAGUCAUGGUUAAGUGGGAAACGAUGUGGGAAGGCCCAGACAGCCAGGAUGUUGGCUUAGAAGCAGCCAUCAUUUAAAGAAAGCGUAAUAGCUCACUGGUCGAGUCGGCCUGCGCGGAAGAUGUAACGGGGCUAAACCAUGCACCGAAGCUGCGGCAGCGACGCUUAUGCGUUGUUGGGUAGGGGAGCGUUCUGUAAGCCUGUGAAGGUGUGCUGUGAGGCAUGCUGGAGGUAUCAGAAGUGCGAAUGCUGACAUAAGUAACGAUAAAGCGGGUGAAAAGCCCGCUCGCCGGAAGACCAAGGGUUCCUGUCCAACGUUAAUCGGGGCAGGGUGAGUCGACCCCUAAGGCGAGGCCGAAAGGCGUAGUCGAUGGGAAACAGGUUAAUAUUCCUGUACUUGGUGUUACUGCGAAGGGGGGACGGAGAAGGCUAUGUUGGCCGGGCGACGGUUGUCCCGGUUUAAGCGUGUAGGCUGGUUUUCCAGGCAAAUCCGGAAAAUCAAGGCUGAGGCGUGAUGACGAGGCACUACGGUGCUGAAGCAACAAAUGCCCUGCUUCCAGGAAAAGCCUCUAAGCAUCAGGUAACAUCAAAUCGUACCCCAAACCGACACAGGUGGUCAGGUAGAGAAUACCAAGGCGCUUGAGAGAACUCGGGUGAAGGAACUAGGCAAAAUGGUGCCGUAACUUCGGGAGAAGGCACGCUGAUAUGUAGGUGAAGUCCCUUGCGGAUGGAGCUGAAAUCAGUCGAAGAUACCAGCUGGCUGCAACUGUUUAUUAAAAACACAGCACUGUGCAAACACGAAAGUGGACGUAUACGGUGUGACGCCUGCCCGGUGCCGGAAGGUUAAUUGAUGGGGUCAGCGCAAGCGAAGCUCUUGAUCGAAGCCCCGGUAAACGGCGGCCGUAACUAUAACGGUCCUAAGGUAGCGAAAUUCCUUGUCGGGUAAGUUCCGACCUGCACGAAUGGCGUAAUGAUGGCCAGGCUGUCUCCACCCGAGACUCAGUGAAAUUGAACUCGCUGUGAAGAUGCAGUGUACCCGCGGCAAGACGGAAAGACCCCGUGAACCUUUACUAUAGCUUGACACUGAACAUUGAGCCUUGAUGUGUAGGAUAGGUGGGAGGCUUUGAAGUGUGGACGCCAGUCUGCAUGGAGCCGACCUUGAAAUACCACCCUUUAAUGUUUGAUGUUCUAACGUGGACCCGUAAUCCGGGUUGCGGACAGUGUCUGGUGGGUAGUUUGACUGGGGCGGUCUCCUCCUAAAGAGUAACGGAGGAGCACGAAGGUUGGCUAAUCCUGGUCGGACAUCAGGAGGUUAGUGCAAUGGCAUAAGCCAGCUUGACUGCGAGCGUGACGGCGCGAGCAGGUGCGAAAGCAGGUCAUAGUGAUCCGGUGGUUCUGAAUGGAAGGGCCAUCGCUCAACGGAUAAAAGGUACUCCGGGGAUAACAGGCUGAUACCGCCCAAGAGUUCAUAUCGACGGCGGUGUUUGGCACCUCGAUGUCGGCUCAUCACAUCCUGGGGCUGAAGUAGGUCCCAAGGGUAUGGCUGUUCGCCAUUUAAAGUGGUACGCGAGCUGGGUUUAGAACGUCGUGAGACAGUUCGGUCCCUAUCUGCCGUGGGCGCUGGAGAACUGAGGGGGGCUGCUCCUAGUACGAGAGGACCGGAGUGGACGCAUCACUGGUGUUCGGGUUGUCAUGCCAAUGGCACUGCCCGGUAGCUAAAUGCGGAAGAGAUAAGUGCUGAAAGCAUCUAAGCACGAAACUUGCCCCGAGAUGAGUUCUCCCUGACUCCUUGAGAGUCCUGAAGGAACGUUGAAGACGACGACGUUGAUAGGCCGGGUGUGUAAGCGCAGCGAUGCGUUGAGCUAACCGGUACUAAUGAACCGUGAGGCUUAACCUU